Molecule: ribosomal RNA, 253 nt
Filed under: uncultured bacterium
Lineage: Bacteria
Description: partial 16S ribosomal RNA
Rfam family: Bacterial small subunit ribosomal RNA
Source: RNAcentral
UACAGAGGUCUCAAGCGUUGUUCGGAUUCAUUGGGCGUAAAGGGUGCGUAGGCGGCGCGGUAAGUCGGGUGUGAAAUCUCGGGGCUUAACUCCGAAACUGCAUUCGAUACUGCCGUGCUUGAGGACUGGAGAGGAGACUGGAAUUUACGGUGUAGCGGUGAAAUGUGUAGAGAUCGGGAGGAACACCGGUGGCGAAGGCGGCCUUCUGGACGGUGACUGACGCUGAGGCGCGAAAGCGUGGGGAGCAAACGGG